AUGGCCACGUUGAUGAGGUCUGUACAGUGAGCCCUGGUUGUUGCAGUGUGACCUGGGGACAAUUAGAACAGGACCUGGCACAGGAAGCUCAAUGAGCAUUGUUGAGUAAGAGAAGGAACCUGACACACUCACCCUUUAUCUUUCACACCGACCUACUGUACGCAAAUGUUUCGAAGAUGCCGAUGGCCAUCCUACUGAGCACCGGCUGAGUCUCCAUCGUGCAGACUGUCCAGUGGCAGGAUCUCUUACUUGGGAAAUGGAGCCACCCAGACGGAGUGCAGGACCAGGAUGUUGACGGAGUUACCGUCAUCACAUCUAACGAUAUCCUGAAGAAGACAAUUGACAGUGGUACCUUAUGUGUACAUUUUGUUUAAGAGUUUCUGUAACUUUCUUUUUCUUUAAAAAUUAUUUCUGGGAUGGAGGAAGAGCUCAGUCAGCUGUACAAUGAAAAGCUCACAUCUGGAGGAGAAGAUGGGCGGAUCCUACCCUUACCAGGCAGAAGGGAAAUGGGAUUCUGAUGGAGUCCUGGAAGACGGCCAUCGGGGAUCUCUACAAGAGGGAUAAAGAGGAGUGACAGGGAGAGCAUCCUCCAGAGCUCAGGCCUCCCCUUGCAGUACCUGUUGACCUUUCUGAUGCUUAGGGACCAAAGCAUCUUCAAGAAGAGAUCUAUAUGCACGUAGUAAGAAAGGUAGAGCAGGGGCCUGGCCUAAGGAAUGAUGCCUCUCACAGUGGGCUAGGACUUCCUACAUCCAUCUCCUAUAGACAUGCUCAGCCUGAUCUAGUUCCCACAGCCUGCACUGCUUGGUGUCAGUCUCUGAAUUCAUAACACAAACGAACAGAAGACAAAAAUCAUUUGCAGAUUCUGAAAGGAAGGAUUUCACCAGGAGAGAUGUCUAAAAUGUGCUAGUCUGGGAAGCUGGAGAGGAGGCGGUCCUUAAAACCAACCAAUCCAAGACCUGGAAAAGGAAACUUCACGAGCACACCCCCCCUCAGAAACAUCUUCCCCCUCUCCCUCCCUCCACCCCACCCCAUUUACACCAAACUUACUUGUCAAUUUCCUCAGAGAAACUUGAAUGGAUUUUUCUAACCUGCCCCAACUCCAAAUUGAUCAGUUAAUUAAGCUGAUCUCUAGGAGGUUGUUGGGGAACACAGUUCCCUUCUCCUUUUAUGUUCCACGGUUCCAAAUAAACUCUUCAGAGGCACCCA
This is a non-coding RNA of Rattus norvegicus (Norway rat), 1206 nucleotides long. Lineage: Eukaryota; Metazoa; Chordata; Mammalia; Rodentia; Muridae. The record is from RefSeq and is a predicted model, not a curated record.